This 274-nucleotide ribosomal RNA is filed under the name uncultured bacterium. Its description in RNAcentral is "partial 16S ribosomal RNA". It matches the Rfam family "Bacterial small subunit ribosomal RNA", at positions 523 to 796 of the family's 1533-position model. The record is from RNAcentral.
AUACGGAGGGGACUAGCGUUGUUCGGAAUUACUGGGCGUAAAGGGCGCGCAGGCGGUUUGGUAAGUCAGAUGUGAAAGCCCCGGGCUCAACCCGGGAACUGCAUUUGAAACUGAGUGACUAGAGUUUAAGAGAGGGGAGUAGAAUUCCGGGUGUAGCGGUGAAAUGCGUAGAGAUCUGGAGGAAUACCAGUGGCGAAGGCGGCUACCUGGCUUAAAACUGACGCUGAGGUACGAAAGCGUGGGUAGCAAACAGGAUUAGAAACCCUAGUAGUCC